RNAcentral lists this ribosomal RNA (1372 nucleotides) under uncultured bacterium. Its description in RNAcentral is "bacterial SSU rRNA". It matches the Rfam family "Bacterial small subunit ribosomal RNA", at positions 28 to 1381 of the family's 1533-position model. The record is from RNAcentral.
GAUGAACGCUGGCGGCGUGCCUAAUACAUGCAAGUCGAGCGAACAGACAAGGAGCUUGCUCCUUUGACGUUAGCGGCGGACGGGUGAGUAACACGUGGGUAACCUACCUAUAAGACUGGGAUAACUUCGGGAAACCGGAGCUAAUACCGGAUAAUAUUUCGAACCGCAUGGUUCGAUAGUGAAAGAUGGUUUUGCUAUCACUUAUAGAUGGACCCGUGCCGUAUUAGCUAGUUGGUAAGGUAACGGCUUACCAAGGCGACGAUACGUAGCCGACCUGAGAGGGUGAUCGGCCACACUGGAACUGAGACACGGUCCAGACUCCUACGGGAGGCAGCAGUAGGGAAUCUUCCGCAAUGGGCGAAAGCCUGACGGAGCAACGCCGCGUGAGUGAUGAAGGUCUUCGGAUCGUAAAACUCUGUUAUUAGGGAAGAACAUACGUGUAAGUAACUAUGCACGUCUUGACGGUACCUAAUCAGAAAGCCACGGCUAACUACGUGCCAGCAGCCGCGGUAAUACGUAGGUGGCAAGCGUUAUCCGGAAUCAUUGGGCGUAAAGCGCGCGUAGGCGGUUUUUUAAGUCUGAUGUGAAAGCCCACGGCUCAACCGUGGAGGGUCAUUGGAAACUGGAAAACUUGAGUGCAGAAGAGGAAAGUGGAAUUCCAUGUGUAGCGGUGAAAUGCGCAGAGAUAUGGAGGAACACCAGUGGCGAAGGCGACUUUCUGGUCUGUAACUGACGCUGAUGUGCGAAAGCGUGGGGAUCAAACAGGAUUAGAUACCCUGGUAGUCCACGCCGUAAACGAUGAGUGCUAAGUGUUAGGGGGUUUCCGCCCCUUAGUGCUGCAGCUAACGCAUUAAGCACUCCGCCUGGGGAGUACGACCGCAAGGUUGAAACUCAAAGGAAUUGACGGGGACCCGCACAAGCGGUGGAGCAUGUGGUUUAAUUCGAAGCAACGCGAAGAACCUUACCAAAUCUUGACAUCCUUUGACAACUCUAGAGAUAGAGCCUUCCCCUUCGGGGGACAAAGUGACAGGUGGUGCAUGGUUGUCGUCAGCUCGUGUCGUGAGAUGUUGGGUUAAGUCCCGCAACGAGCGCAACCCUUAAGCUUAGUUGCCAUCAUUAAGUUGGGCACUCUAAGUUGACUGCCGGUGACAAACCGGAGGAAGGUGGGGAUGACGUCAAAUCAUCAUGCCCCUUAUGAUUUGGGCUACACACGUGCUACAAUGGACAAUACAAAGGGCAGCGAAACCGCGAGGUCAAGCAAAUCCCAUAAAGUUGUUCUCAGUUCGGAUUGUAGUCUGCAACUCGACUACAUGAAGCUGGAAUCGCUAGUAAUCGUAGAUCAGCAUGCUACGGUGAAUACGUUCCCGGGUCU